Molecule: non-coding RNA, 82 nt
Filed under: Methylotuvimicrobium alcaliphilum 20Z
Lineage: Bacteria; Pseudomonadati; Pseudomonadota; Gammaproteobacteria; Methylococcales; Methylococcaceae
Source: RNAcentral
CUUUAUGUCGGGCUGAUGAGGCACUCGAAAGAGUGGCCGGUUCCGUGAUCCGGUACGCCAACUUCAUCAGUCCGGCACCCAU